This 283-nucleotide ribosomal RNA is filed under the name uncultured bacterium. Its description in RNAcentral is "partial 16S ribosomal RNA". It matches the Rfam family "Bacterial small subunit ribosomal RNA", at positions 773 to 1060 of the family's 1533-position model. The record is from RNAcentral.
GUGGAUUAGAUACCCGGGUAGUCCACGCCCUAAACGAUGUUUACUUGCUGUUGGGGGCAACCUUAGUAGCGAAGCUAACGCGAGAAGUAAACCGCCUGGGGAGUACGGUCGCAAGAUUAAAACUCAAAGGAAUUGACGGGGACCCGCACAAGCGGUGGAUGAUGUGGAUUAAUUCGAUGCAACGCGAAAAACCUUACCUGCUCUUGACAUGCUAGGAAGAAGCUAGAGAUAGCUUUGUGCCUUCGGGAACCUAGACACAGGUGCUGCACGGCUGUCGACAGCU